This 1345-nucleotide long non-coding RNA is filed under the name Pan troglodytes (chimpanzee). Its description in RNAcentral is "long non-coding RNA NONPTRT011713". Lineage: Eukaryota; Metazoa; Chordata; Mammalia; Primates; Hominidae. The record is from RNAcentral.
UCGAGCCUGGUACUGGAGGAGCUUGGGGGAGGGUCUGACCCCUAGGCUGGGAGAGGCGUGCAAGGGGGACUGGGAGCAGGGGGGCAAAAGCUGGCCGGGCGCGUUGGGGCGGGAAGGCGGCCGCAGGGCUGGCAAUGGAAAGCGGGGAGCGGGAAAUGCGCGGGGAGGAGACUCGGGUACAGGGUGACUGGGGAAGGCACGAACCCACAGCGCGGGAAGAGCUCGGGCCAGUGGGAUGGUGCCCUUGCCGCUGACGCGCUCUUGUACUAGUUGCUCUGGUCUUAAGUAGAUCGUCAGGGUCCGUGCGUCUCUGAGUGCCGGUCUGUGUCUCUGUCUCCGCCUUUGUAUGUGUCAGUCCAUCUCUAAGUGUCUGUAUCUCUGUCUCUGUGCCCCGUAUCUCUUUCGCUGUGUUAUGGCCUUUGUCUAUGCCUGUCCCUUAAGUGUCUGCCUUUCUCCAUCUAUCUCCAUUCUUGACUCCUGUAUCUCUGUGCCACAGUGUCUCCGUCUCCUGAAUCUGGGUAUUUCAGUCUCUCCUAGGAGGGGUCUAUAGUAACUGGGCCGACGCGCGCACACCAGGGCAGACACCCCCAGCCCUAGUCCGGUGGCUGGAGCCCCCCGCGGCUCUGGAGUGGUGCGCUCGCAGUGUAGGAGGAAUGAAUGGCGGCGUCGCGGGGGGCGCCCUGGCUGCGGGUGACGCGGGGAAGCUCGGAGCACCUGAGGACGCGGAGCGCGCCAGUGUAUGCCCCGAGGGAGUGCGGUAGAGAUGGAGGGUGCCCCCCGCCCUCGUUGCUUUGGACCACGGUCUCCGGGAUGAGGGCCACAGCUGGAGGUGGAGGCCCAGCCUGGAGUGAGAGGAGCCCUGAAACUGGAAGGACAAUAAAGGCGGAAGACUGGGGUCACUGGAAGAGAGUCCAGAAAAUUCCACAUCCACUGGAAGUUGUCCAGUAAUGGGUUCCAAUCCUGACUCCCACUUUCUCAGUGACCUUGAACUGAAGGACCCAUAAUCAUGGUUUUAAAAAAUUAAUUCGUUUGUACUUAAAACAUUUUAGGAGGCCGGGCUCAGUGGCUCACGCCUGCAAUACCAGCACUUUGGGAGGCGAGGUGGGUGGAUCACCUGAGGUCAGGAGUUCAAGACCAGCCUGAUCAACAUGGCAAAACCCCGUCUCUACUAAAAAUACAAAAAAAAUUAGCCAGGUGUGGCACACACCUGCAGUCCCAGCUACUUGGGAGGCUGAGGCACAAGAACCGCUUGACCUAGGGUGGCAAAGGUGGCAGUUGGCGGACAUUGGGCCAUUGCACUCCAGCCUGGGCGACAAAGCGAGGCGAGACUCUGUCUCAAUAAAAG